UAUGCCUAGCCGUAAACAUUGAUAGAAUUAUACACCUCUCUAUCCGCCCGGAUAUUACGAGCAUUAGCUUGAAACCCAAAGGACUUGGCGGUACUUUAGAUCCCCCUAGAGGAGCCUGCUCUAUAACCGAUAACCCCCGUUAAACCUCACCCUCCCUUGUUUUUUCCGCCUAUAUACCACCGUCGUCAGCUCACCCUGUGAAGGCCUAAUAGUAAGCAAAAUUGGCACAGCCCAGAACGUCAGGUCGAGGUGUAGCGCAUGAGAGGGGAAGAAGUGGGCUACAUUCGCUAACUUAGCGAAUCACGGACGAUGAAUUGAAAACAUUCAUCCUUAAAGGAGGAUUUAGCAGUAAGUGGAAAAUAGAGUGUUCCACUGAAAUCGGCUCUGAAGUGCGUACACACCGCCCGUCACUCUCUCCAAGCCCACCCAAUUACCUAACAUAACUAAUUAUACCCAAACUGCAAAGGAGAGGCAAGUCGUAACAUGGUAAGUGUAC
RNAcentral lists this ribosomal RNA (496 nucleotides) under Scomber japonicus (chub mackerel). Its description in RNAcentral is "partial 12S ribosomal RNA". It matches the Rfam family "Bacterial small subunit ribosomal RNA", at positions 791 to 1505 of the family's 1533-position model. The record is from RNAcentral. Lineage: Eukaryota; Metazoa; Chordata; Actinopteri; Scombriformes; Scombridae.